RNAcentral lists this ribosomal RNA (500 nucleotides) under uncultured bacterium. Its description in RNAcentral is "partial 16S ribosomal RNA". It matches the Rfam family "Bacterial small subunit ribosomal RNA", at positions 30 to 523 of the family's 1533-position model. The record is from RNAcentral.
AUUGAACGCUGGCGGCAUGCCUUACACAUGCAAGUCGAACGGCAGCACGGGAGCAAUCCUGGUGGCGAGUGGCGAACGGGUGAGUAAAGUAUCGGAACGCGCCCAGUCGUGGGGGAUAACGUAGCGAAAGUUACGCUAAUACCGCAUACGAUCUAUGGAUGAAAGCGGGGAAUCGCAAGACCUCGCGCGAUUGGAGCGGCCGAUAUCAGAUUAGGUAGUUGGUGGGGUAAAGGCUCACCAAGCCGACGAUCUGUAGCUGGUCUGAGAGGACGACCAGCCACACUGGGACUGAGACACGGCCCAGACUCCUACGGGAGGCAGCAGUGGGGAAUUUUGGACAAUGGGCGAAAGCCUGAUCCAGCCAUGCCGCGUGCAGGAUGAAGGCCUUCGGGUUGUAAACUGCUUUUGUACGGAACGAAAAGGUUUGGCCUAAUAAGCUGAGCUCAUGACGGUACCGUAAGAAUAAGCACCGGCUAACUACGUGCCAGCCGCCGCAGUAA